This 245-nucleotide ribosomal RNA is filed under the name uncultured bacterium. Its description in RNAcentral is "partial 16S ribosomal RNA". It matches the Rfam family "Bacterial small subunit ribosomal RNA", at positions 335 to 572 of the family's 1533-position model. The record is from RNAcentral.
AGCCUACGGGGGGCAGCAGUAGGGAAUUUUUCACAAUGGGCGAAAGCCUGAUGGAGCAAUGCCGCGUGAAUGAUGAAGGUCUUAUAGAUUGUAAAAUUCUUUUAUUUGGGAAGCAAAACUCAAGUAGGAAAUGACUUUAGUCUGACUGUACCAUUUGAAUAAGUAUCGGCUAACUAUGUGCCAGCAGCCGCGGUAAUACACCGCAUGCAAGCGUUAUCCGGAUUUACUGGGCGUAAAAACACGGC